This 397-nucleotide ribosomal RNA is filed under the name uncultured bacterium. RNAcentral's name for it is "bacterial SSU rRNA". It matches the Rfam family "Bacterial small subunit ribosomal RNA", at positions 362 to 776 of the family's 1533-position model. The record is from RNAcentral.
UAUUGCACAAUGGGGGGAACCCUGAUGCAGCGACGCCGCGUGAGUGAAGAAGUAUUUCGGUAUGUAAAGCUCUAUCAGCAGGGAAGAAAAUGACGGUACCUGAAUAAGAAGCUCCGGCUAACUACGUGCCAGCAGCCGCGGUAAUACGUAGGGGGCAAGCGUUAUCCGGAUUUACUGGGUGUAAAGGGAGCGUAGACGGUAGAGCAAGUCUGAAGUGAAAGCCCGCGGCUCAACUGCGGGACUGCUUUGGAAACUGUUCAACUGGAGUGCUGGAGAGGUAAGCGGAAUUCCUAGUGUAGCGGUGAAAUGCGUAGAUAUUAGGAGGAACACCAGUGGCGAAGGCGGCUUACUGGACUGUAAAUGACGCUGAGGCUCGAAAGCGCGGGGAGCAAACAGG